CAGGCGGGCCGGAUAGUCGCUCCUGUGACAAAUCAGGAAUGGGAGAGGAAAGUCCGAACUCAGAGGGCGAGCGCAUUCCGAUAAGAUCGGAACACAGGCAAAUUGAGCCUGUCAGGAUAAGAGCCACAGAGACGAGCGCCGGAUUUAAGUCCGGCGGGUGAAACGAGGCAAUCUCUGCGCGAGUUAAGGUCGAAUAGUCCGUGCUUGAGGCUUGCCCGGCCGAACGGACGGGUUGACCGCUUAAGUCCUGGAGUAAUCCGGGAAAUAAGACAAAUGACUAUCUAAAACAGAAUUCGGCUUACGGGCCCGCCUUUUUU
This 317-nucleotide RNase P RNA is filed under the name Candidatus Omnitrophota bacterium. RNAcentral's name for it is "Candidatus Omnitrophica bacterium RNase P RNA component class A". It matches the Rfam family "Bacterial RNase P class A". Rfam says of the family: Ribonuclease P (RNase P) is a ubiquitous endoribonuclease, found in archaea, bacteria and eukarya as well as chloroplasts and mitochondria. Its best characterised activity is the generation of mature 5'-ends of tRNAs by cleaving the 5'-leader elements of precursor-tRNAs. Lineage: Bacteria; Pseudomonadati; Candidatus Omnitrophota. The record is from RNAcentral.